GGCGUGCUUAACACAUGCAAGUCGAACGGAAAGGCCCCUGCUUGCAGGGGUACUCGAGUGGCGAACGGGUGAGUAACACGUGGGUGAUCUGCCMUGUACUUCGGGAUAAGCUUGGGAAACUGGGUCUAAUACCGGAUAGGACAACUUUUUGGAUAUUGUUGUGGAAAGCUUUUGCGGUAUGGGAUGAGCUCGCGGCCUAUCAGCUUGUUGGUGGGGUAAUGGCCUACCAAGGCGUCGACGGGUAGCCGGCCUGAGAGGGUGUACGGCCACAUUGGGACUGAGAUACGGCCCAGACUCCUACGGGAGGCAGCAGUGGGGAAUAUUGCACAAUGGGCGCAAGCCUGAUGCAGCGACGCCGCGUGGGGGAUGAAGGCCUUCGGGUUGUAAACUCCUUUCGCUAGGSACGAAGCAUUAU
RNAcentral lists this ribosomal RNA (415 nucleotides) under Corynebacterium sp. V17 2011348. RNAcentral's name for it is "bacterial SSU rRNA". It matches the Rfam family "Bacterial small subunit ribosomal RNA", at positions 41 to 456 of the family's 1533-position model. The record is from RNAcentral. Lineage: Bacteria; Bacillati; Actinomycetota; Actinomycetes; Mycobacteriales; Corynebacteriaceae.